Molecule: long non-coding RNA, 1040 nt
Filed under: Helianthus annuus (common sunflower)
Lineage: Eukaryota; Viridiplantae; Streptophyta; Magnoliopsida; Asterales; Asteraceae
Description: hypothetical non coding rna
Source: RNAcentral
AUGUAUUCAAAAUCUCUGUAUAAAAAUAUUUUCGCAACCCAUACGCCAGUGGUGUCUUUAAUGGUGUGCGGGGAGGACCUUCGCACAAGGCCCGUGAUUUCGAGGGGCACAUGAUUUGUAAAAAAAAAUCCAAUAUAUGUAUAUGUUAAGAUUUUUUUAAUAGUAAACACAUAACAAUUCUAAUAUAUGUCCAUUUACAAAUCGUUUAUCAUGGUUUAGAAUUUAGCCCACUUGGCAGACCGAUAAUAUUUUGAUUUAAAAAAAUGAUAAAACAUUAUGGUGGAUGAAUAGUCAAAGGGGCCUAUUACCCAUAAUUUUUUUGGAUCACACCAAUUGUUUAACUCAACAACAUAUUUCACCUCAUCAUCUUAAAUAAAUAACUAUAUAUGAACUCAAACUUUAUCAUAAUCACAAAAUUAUAAAACUAAGCUAUUAAAUAAGCAUCAUAUGUAAAAGAACUUGUAGAAUUUCUAGUUGUUAUACUAAACUACAUUUUUAAGUUAUGAUAAGCCAUACCUUUGGAAUCAUUUUAAUAUAAAAAGGAGCUAGUGGAAUGUUUUCAAUAUGCAAAUUUGAAUGACAUUAGUAUAUAUUAGGAUGUUGAAAGCAAUUGCAUUUAUAUUUUCUAUAUUCCCGUUAACUAUGAACAUGGGUGGUUAACUGCGUUGUGUCUAGGAUGCCUUUAAGGAGUAACAUAUAUACUUCAUAUGUAUUCAUUCUCAAUCUACAUCAACAAAACACAAAUUACACUUCAUAUUCAUCUAAAAAUAAUAACAGACUACCAUGAAUAAUAUAUAAAUACAAAAGUAACACAUUACAUAAAUUACUUAUUGACAAAGUGAAAAUAUAGUUAAAAUGCAUUGAAUUAUAAAACAUUAUAUCUUUUACUUUUAUUAAGAAUUAAGGUGUCUUCAGAAACAGUUACUCUUUCUUAGAGUCAUCUAGAAUUUCUUGCUAUGGCCAUCAUUAUAGAUCUGCAAAUUAAAAGACAAACAUUAAAUAACAUCACAAGGUUACAAAGCUCCCAGUGAAAGAUAUGU